AUCUUGAUCGAAGGAAUUUAUUUCAAAAUAAAAAGAUUUAACUUCAUUUUAAAUGUAGAUAUUUCAAAAGUAGGGUUUUUGAUAUUGUGAUAUAAGAAUGCGUCGGAAUGUUUUUUUCUUUCUUCUUUAUUUAUUUAUUUAUUUUUUUUUUUUUUUCAACAACUUGUUUCUAUUUCCUUUUUUAGAGAUGUCUGUAGGUUCUUUCUAGUAUUUUGUCGGCCUUAUCAAUGAUUCUGAAUGGGAAAAUAUAGAGCUAUGGAACAUCAAUUGCAUCAAAUGCUAAUAAUCUUAAAUGAUUUGUUAAGCAGUUUUCCAGUUGAGGAAUAAUUACGUAAAUUUAGUAAUAAUAAUGAAGUACAUAGUAUAUAUUUUAUUAUAUUUUUAUGCAAGCAAUAUUAAAGGAGAUAUUAAAAGAAAAAUGAAGUGGGUAUUUAAAACAAAACGUGGCUAUGCGCUUGCCUUGAGUGAAAUAAGAUUAUCCCUUUGUUAUGAUUUUCACAUACAAAUAUUGGCGCGAAGUUUAUCGAGGAUUACGCUGUGCGUAUACGUGACGAUGAUAUAUUUGUUCGAUGGAUACUAGCUUGAUACGCCUUUGUAUUGUUCUCGUUGAUUUCAGGAAAUUUGUUUUCUGUUUGGACUCGGUAUAAAUGGCAAUGGGAGAUGAUUUUUUUCUGGCAGUACAAUCUUUGAUUUCGACAAUAUUUGGUUGUUCCGUUGCAUGUAUAGGUCUUGUUAAUUAUUCCAAUAAGAAUCAAUCAGGACAAUGUUAUCGAGAUGACACAAGAUUUUUGAUCGUUCCUCUUAUCUCCAGGUUUAACGUAUCAAAUCUACACAGGACGAUCUCAGUGACACAGUUGUAGGAUUUCCAUAUUUAUGUUGAGUGUAUUUCUAUUUCAAGGUAAACCGAAGAUGAAGAAACACUUGAAUGCCAGUACUUUCUCUCUUUAUUCUACUGAGUUUUGUCACUUAAAGAACCAAAAGCAAUGGAGAAAGAUAAAGAAGAUGAAGCUUGUGAGAUCAUUGAUUUAUGCAAACGAUAAGAUAUGUAAUUUGUCCUAGGUGGAACAUAUUUACGGAACGUUAAUUAUUUAUGCUGAUCAAAGUAUUUAUAUACAUUGAACAUUUAUUUUUUUAAACAUACUCACUGAUUAAUAGAACUACUGACUAAAUAAAUAGAAAUAUCAAAAAAGUUACUUUUAUUAUAUUUGACAUUAAUCUUAUAAAUAUUAUUUAUAUCUACAUUUUUUUAGAAACAAUUUAAUUUAUACACACACGUGCACACACACACAUUUAUAUGAUAUAUGUGUGUGGUAUUUUAUUGUUUACAAUUCUAAUCAAAAGAGAAAUUUUAUUAAUUUUAUAUAGUUAAUGAAGUAAUACAUGCAAGUUACACAGAAAAUGACAGAUAUAAGCAAAAUCAAUAUUUUUCAUGAAAGAAUGCAUGCAAGAGUUUUGAACUGUGUACUGGGUCGUUUCGACAGAUCUUACGUAAAAAGCAAAGUCAAGGAGGAUGUCGAACUUCGAGAAAAACGAGAAUCCUCAUCGAGAAUAAAUCGACUUCACAAAUUCAAAUUGAAUUGUGUUUGAUAUGCAAUGUUAAAUUUGAAACAAUACCAUCAUAUAUAGGUAAUUAUAUUAAAUAUUUAAGUGAAAUUGAGUAUUCUAUAUACAUUCCUAUUGAGGAAUUUUAGAUAUAUUUUUAUCGAGUUUGAAGUCAUAGCUCUUGCUUCGGUGUUAUAAAAGAUUUCAUCACGUUUUGUAUAUCACCGAUAGAGUAAUAUUCAUUGCCCUACAGAGAAGAGAAAUCAAGGUUAUUAUCGAUUUAAAAAAAUUCCAGUUCGAUAUAGUUCCUGAAUAUAUAUAUAUUAUAUAAAAUUUUUAUAUUUGAUAAGAAUAAUAUAAAUACAAAUAAUUAUAUUGUAAGAAUGGAAGUAUUUCAGUUAUUAUUAUUCAAGUAAAAAGUUUUCUGUGUAACUUACAAAUAAAAAGUUUCUUCUUAUUAGUAUUAAUGAAAUGCUAGAAAAUGCUAUGAAUUAAAUUUUAUUGUGAAAUAAACUAGAAAAAUUAUUGAUAUUUUUGAGCAAAAAUUUCAUAUGCAAUUCAUUUAUCCUUUUCUUAGCAUGUUUUUUUAAGUGUUAUUUUAUUUAUUCAUAUAAAGAUUCUUUCUAUUGAGGGUAGUCUAAAUUUUAUGAUAGCCAAAUUAAAUA
Vespula vulgaris is the source of this 2207-nucleotide long non-coding RNA. RefSeq lists it as uncharacterized. The record is from RefSeq and is a predicted model, not a curated record. The transcript has 4 exons. NCBI's taxonomy places the organism in Eukaryota, Metazoa, Arthropoda, Insecta, Hymenoptera, Vespidae.